AUUGAACGCUGGCGGCAUGCUUUACACAUGCAAGUCGAACGGUAACAGGCCUUCGGGUGCUGACGAGUGGCGAACGGGUGAGUAAUGCAUCGGAACGUGCCCAGAGGUGGGGGAUAACGCAGCGAAAGCUGUGCUAAUACCGCAUGUGAUCUGAGGAUGAAAGCGGGGGACCAGGCAGCAAUGUUUGGCCUCGCGCCUUUGGAGCGGCCGAUGUCAGAUUAGGUAGUUGGUGGGGUAAAGGCCUACCAAGCCGACGAUCUGUAGCUGGUCUGAGAGGACGACCAGCCACACUGGGACUGAGACACGGCCCAGACUCCUACGGGAGGCAGCAGUGGGGAAUUUUGGACAAUGGGCGCAAGCCUGAUCCAGCAAUGCCGCGUGCGGGAAGAAGGCCUUCGGGUUGUAAACCGCUUUUGUACGGAACGAAAAGGCUCUAGCUAAUACCUGGGGCUGAUGACGGUACCGUAAGAAUAAGCACCGGCUAACUACGUG
This 492-nucleotide ribosomal RNA is filed under the name uncultured bacterium. RNAcentral's name for it is "partial 16S ribosomal RNA". It matches the Rfam family "Bacterial small subunit ribosomal RNA", at positions 30 to 507 of the family's 1533-position model. The record is from RNAcentral.